ACAAGUACCGUGAGGGAAAGUUGCAAAGCACUUUGAAGAGAGAGUUAAAGAGGACGUGAAACCGGUAAGGUGGAAACGGAUAGAGUCGGCGUAUCUUUCAAUUAUUCAUUUACAUUAUUUUUAUGUUGUGACCUCUGAGCUCCAGAUUGGGACAGAGGGAAUCAGCAUAAUUUUUUGUGGUGCAUUUACUUGAUUGGUGCUUGGGGAUGUUUGAGGCAGAUUUGUUUCCGUCGUUUUGAGGCCAGCUUGCUGGUACCCAAACGGUGUUAGCAUUUUUUGUCUUGGGCAUUUGAGUAUGGCUUACGGGUAUUUAUUGGUCAGAUCUGAGUGUAAGUUACGGUCGCAUGCGACACGUGCUUUUCAAUUAGUUCGGUCCAGUUAAUGCUCUCGUACUCGUUCCCCAUGUAAAAGCCGGUCAUCUAUCCGACCCGUCUUGAAACACGGACCAAGGAGUUUAUCGUGUGCGCAAGUUUUUGGGUGUUAAAAACUUAAAAGCGAAAUGAAAGUAAAUGACUCUUUAGAGUCUGAUGUGCGAUCUUGUAAAAAAGUGUAGCAUGGCCCCAUUCUAACUGUUUACAGUAGGGUGGCGGAAGAGCGUACGCGGUGAGACCCGAAAGAUGGUGAACUAUUCCUGAGCAGGACGAAGCCAGAGGAAACUCUGGUGGAAGUCCGAAGCGGUUCUGACGUGCAAAUCGAUCGUCUGACUUGGGUAUAGGGGCGAAAGACUAAUCGAACCAUCUAGUAGCUGGUUCCUUCCGA
Molecule: ribosomal RNA, 759 nt
Filed under: Meloidogyne incognita (southern root-knot nematode)
Lineage: Eukaryota; Metazoa; Nematoda; Chromadorea; Rhabditida; Meloidogynidae
Description: eukaryotic LSU rRNA
Rfam family: Eukaryotic large subunit ribosomal RNA
Source: RNAcentral